This 466-nucleotide ribosomal RNA is filed under the name uncultured bacterium. Its description in RNAcentral is "partial 16S ribosomal RNA". It matches the Rfam family "Bacterial small subunit ribosomal RNA", at positions 28 to 507 of the family's 1533-position model. The record is from RNAcentral.
GACGAACGCUGGCGGCGUGCUUAACACAUGCAAGUCGAACGGAAAGGCCCUGCUUGCCGGGUACUCGAGUGGCGAACGGGUGAGUAACACGUGGGUGAUCUGCCCUGCACUUCGGGAUAAGCCUGGGAAACUGGGUCUAAUACCGGAUAGGAGCCAUUUUUAGUGUGAUGGUUGGAAAGUUUUUUUCGGUGUAGGAUGAGCUCGCGGCCUAUCAGCUUGUUGGUGGGGUAAUGGCCUACCAAGGCGGCGACGGGUAGCCGGCCUGAGAGGGUGGACGGCCACAUUGGGACUGAGAUACGGCCCAGACUCCUACGGGAGGCAGCAGUGGGGAAUAUUGCACAAUGGGCGCAAGCCUGAUGCAGCGACGCCGCGUGGGGGAUGACGGCCUUCGGGUUGGAAACUCCUUUCGCUAGGGACGAAGCUUUUUGUGACGGUACCUAGAUAAGAAGCACCGGCUAACUACGUG